AAGAGACAGCAGCCGCCGCGGUAAUACAGAGGGUGCGAGCGUUAAUCGGAUUUACUGGGCGUAAAGCGUGCGUAGGCGGCUUCUUAAGUCGGAUGUGAAAUCCCUGAGCUUAACUUAGGAAUUGCAUUCGAUACUGGGAAGCUAGAGUAUGGGAGAGGAUGGUAGAAUUCCAGGUGUAGCGGUGAAAUGCGUAGAGAUCUGGAGGAAUACCGAUGGCGAAGGCAGCCAUCUGGCCUAAUACUGACGCUGAGGUACGAAAGCAUGGGGAGCAAACAGGAUUAGAGACCCCUGUAGUCCCUGUCUCUUAUAC
RNAcentral lists this ribosomal RNA (310 nucleotides) under uncultured bacterium. RNAcentral's name for it is "partial 16S ribosomal RNA". It matches the Rfam family "Bacterial small subunit ribosomal RNA", at positions 503 to 807 of the family's 1533-position model. The record is from RNAcentral.